RNAcentral lists this transfer RNA (75 nucleotides) under Oceanobacillus sp. 143. Its description in RNAcentral is "tRNA-Met". It matches the Rfam family "tRNA". Rfam says of the family: Transfer RNA (tRNA) molecules are approximately 80 nucleotides in length. Their secondary structure includes four short double-helical elements and three loops (D, anti-codon, and T loops). Further hydrogen bonds mediate the characteristic L-shaped molecular structure. tRNAs have two regions of fundamental functional importance: the anti-codon, which is responsible for specific mRNA codon recognition, and the 3' end, to which the tRNAs corresponding amino acid is attached (by aminoacyl-tRNA synthetases). tRNAs cope with the degeneracy of the genetic code in two manners: having more than one tRNA (with a specific anti-codon) for a particular amino acid; and 'wobble' base-pairing, i.e. permitting non-standard base-pairing at the 3rd anti-codon position. Lineage: Bacteria; Bacillati; Bacillota; Bacilli; Caryophanales; Bacillaceae. The record is from RNAcentral.
CGCGGGUGGAGCAGUCUGGUAGCUCGUUGGGCUCAUAACCCAAAGGUCGUAGGUUCAAAUCCUGCCCCGCAACCA